This is a non-coding RNA of Pelobates cultripes (western spadefoot toad), 140 nucleotides long. The record is from the annotation of a GenBank genome assembly. NCBI's taxonomy places the organism in Eukaryota, Metazoa, Chordata, Amphibia, Anura, Pelobatidae.
UAUUGACAGUUAGGGAGGGAGUGACUAGUGGCAGAGGGAGGGAUGGGGUGACUAGUGACAGUCACCACCUUCCUCACUCUGUCACUAGUCACCAUCUCCCUCCCUCUGUCACUAGUCACCCCCUCCCUCAUUCUGUCACU